This 2974-nucleotide ribosomal RNA is filed under the name Candidatus Annandia adelgestsuga. RNAcentral describes it as "23S ribosomal RNA". It matches the Rfam family "Bacterial large subunit ribosomal RNA". The record is from RNAcentral. Lineage: Bacteria; Pseudomonadati; Pseudomonadota; Gammaproteobacteria; Enterobacterales; Enterobacteriaceae.
AAGUUUAAAAGCGUAUAUGGUGGAUGCCUUGGCAAUCAAAGACGAUGAAGGACGUGCUAAUCUGCGAAAAGCGUUGAUGUGCUGACUUGAAGCAUUUUAAAUCAACGAUCUCCUAAUGGGUAAACCCGAUGUUUACGGAUUAUUCAUUUUAUCCAAAUCUUCACUGAAUGAUACAAUCCAAACAUCAUCAUAAUAAUGUUAUUAUGAAGACAACCAGGAGAAUUGAAACAUCUUAGUAUCCUGAGGAAAAUAAAUCAAAUGAGAUUCUCUUAGUAGUGGCGAGCGAAAAGGGAAAAGUCCGAAAUUAUUAACAUUUAUAUAGUAGAAUGUACUGGAAAGUACAACGAUACAGAGUGAAAGUCUCGUAUAUGAAAAUAAAUGAAGAUAAAUCUUUAAGAUUACACAAAAAAAAAAAAAAACAAAAAAAUAAUUUCAUAGAGUAAAACGAGACACGUGAUAUCUUGUUUGAAGAAAGGGGGACCACCCUCUAAGACUAAAUACUCUUGAUUGACCGAUAGUGAACUAGUACCGUAAGGGAAAGGUGAAAAGAACCUCUGCAAGGGGAGUGAAAUAGAACCUGAAACCAUAUAUGUACAAGCAGUGGAAGCUAUUUUUUAAUUAGCAACUGCGUACCUUUUGUAUAAUGGGUCAGCGACUUGUAUAUUGUAGCGAGGUUAACUUUUUUAUAAGGAAGCCGUAGGGAAACCGAGUCUUAAUAAGGCAUUAGUUGCAGGAUACAGACCCGAAACCUGGUGAUCUAGCCAUGAGCAGGUUGAAAAUUAGUUAAAACUAAUUGGAGGACCGAACCGACUAAUGUUGCAAAAUUAGCGGAUGACUUGUGGUUAGGGGUGAAAGGCCAAUCAAACCAGGAGAUAGCUGGUUCUCCUCGAAAGCUAUUUAGGUAGCGCCUCAUAUAAUUUCAUCUUUAGGGGUAGAGCACUGUUCAGAUUAGGGAGCUAUACUAGCUUACCAAGUCGAUACAAACUCCGAAUACUAAAGAAUGUAAAUAUGGGAGACACACGUCGGGUGCUAAUAUCCGUCGUGGAAAGGGAAACAACCCAGACCGUCAGCUAAGGUCCCAAAAUUACAAUUAAGUGGAAAACGAUGUGAGAGGGCAUAAACAGCCAGGAUGUUGGCUUAGAAGCAGCCAUCAUUUAAAGAAAGCGUAAUAGCUCACUGGUCGAGUCAACUUGCGCGGAAGAUGUAACGGGGCUCAAAUUGUAUACCGAAGCUACGGCAACAAUUUUAUUAUUGUUGGGUAGAGGAGCGUUCUGUAAACCAUAGAAGAUAUAUUGGAAAAUAUAUUGGAGGUAUCAGAAGUGCGAAUGCUGACAUGAGUAACGAUAAAGCAGGUGAAAAACUUGCUCGCCGAAAGACUAAGGUUUCCUGUCCUACGUUAAUCGAGGCAGGGUAAGUCGAUAUCUAAGAUCAGGCCGAAAGGCGUAGUCGAUGAUUAACAGGUUAAAAUUCCUGUACUUAAUAUAGUUUUAAGAAGUGACGAAGAAGAUUAGGUUAUCCAAUAAUUGGUAAAUUGGUUUAAAUACCUAGGUGGAAUAUUAAUAAAUAUAAUAUUCAUAACAUCAACGUAUUAAAAUAAUGAAAUCGUAAAAUAACUGAUAUCAUACUUACGAGAAAAGCUUCUACGAACACUGUAUUAAAUCGUACCUAAACCGACACAGGUAGUCAGGUAGAGAAUACUAAGGCGUUUGAGAUAACUGAGGUGAAGGAACUAGGCAAAAUAGUGCCGUAACUUUGGAAUAAGGCACACUAGCAGUAGGUGAAUUAUUAGAUACUUAAUAACAAGCUGAUACUAGUUUAAAAUAAUGGCUGGCUGCAACUGUUUACUAAAAACAUAGCACUGUGCAAACACGAAAGUGGAAGUAUACGGUGUGACGCCUGCCCGGUGCCGGAAGGUUAAUUGAUGGAGUAACGAUUUUUAAAUUGAAGCUCUUGAUCGAAGCCCCGGUAAACGGCGGCCGUAACUAUAACGGUCCUAAGGUAGCGAAAUUCCUUGUCGGGUAAGUUCCGACCUGCACGAAUGGCGUAAUGAUGGCCAGACUGUCUCCACCUUAGACUCAGUGAAAUUGAAUUUGCUGUGAAGAUGCAGUAUACCCGCGACAAGACGGAAAGACCCCGUGAACCUUUACUAUAGCUUGAUACUGAUUAUAAAAAAUUAAUGUGUAGAAUAGGUGGUAAGCUUAGAAAUAUAGACGCCAGUUUAUAUGGAGCUAACCAUGAAAUACCACCCUUUAAUUUUUAAUUUUCUAAUCUUAUAUUUAAAACAAAUAUAGAGACAAUGUCUGGUGGAUAGUUUGACUGGGGCGGUCUCCUCCUGAAGAGUAACGGAGGAGUGCAAAGAUUGGCUAAUCACGGUCGGAAAUCGUGAGGUUAGUGCAAAGGCAUAAGCCAAUUUGACUGUAAGCAUGACAAUGCGAGCAGGUGCGAAAGCAGGUCUUAGUGAUCCGGUGGUUUCUAUGUGGAAAGGCCAUCGCUCAACGAAUAAAAGGUACUCCGGGGAUAACAGGCUAAUACCGCCCAAGAGCUCAUAUCGACGGCGGUGUUUGGCACCUCGAUGUCGGCUCAUCACAUCCUGGGGCUGAAGCAGGUCCCAAGGGUAUGGCUGUUCGCCAUUUAAAGUGGUACGCGAGCUGGGUUUAGAACGUCGUGAGACAGUUCGGUCCCUAUCUGUCGUGGGCGAAGGAGGAUUGAGAGGAUCUGCUUCUAGUACGAGAGGACCGAAGUGGACGUAUCUCUGGUGUUCGGGUUAUCAUACCAAUGGUAUUGCCCGGUAGCUAUAUACGGAAAAGAUAAGAGCUGAAAGCAUCUAAGCACGAAACUUACCUCAAGAUUAAUCAUCCCGAAACUAACAAUAGUUUCCUUAAGGGACGUUGAAGACUACAACGUUAAUAGGCUGGAUGUGUAAACAUAGUAAUAUGUGUAGCUAACCAGUACUAAUUAGGACCCGUGUGGCUUU